GACGUAGGAUGCGAGCGUUGUCCGGAUUUAUUGGGCGUAAAGAGUUCGUAGGUGGUUCGUUAAGUCUGAUGUUAAAGACUGGGGCUCAACCCUGGGAGUGCAUUGGAUACUGGCGGACUUGAGUGUAGUAGAGGCAAGCGGAAUUCCCAGUGUAGCGGUGAAAUGCGUAGAUAUUGGGAAGAACACCGGUGGCGAAAGCGGCUUGCUGGGCUAUAACUGACACUGAGGAACGAAAGCUAGGGUAGCGAAUGGG
RNAcentral lists this ribosomal RNA (253 nucleotides) under uncultured bacterium. Its description in RNAcentral is "partial 16S ribosomal RNA". It matches the Rfam family "Bacterial small subunit ribosomal RNA", at positions 524 to 776 of the family's 1533-position model. The record is from RNAcentral.